Molecule: transfer RNA, 76 nt
Filed under: Oculatellaceae cyanobacterium Prado106
Lineage: Bacteria; Bacillati; Cyanobacteriota; Cyanophyceae; Oculatellales; Oculatellaceae
Description: tRNA-Leu
Rfam family: tRNA
About the family: Transfer RNA (tRNA) molecules are approximately 80 nucleotides in length. Their secondary structure includes four short double-helical elements and three loops (D, anti-codon, and T loops). Further hydrogen bonds mediate the characteristic L-shaped molecular structure. tRNAs have two regions of fundamental functional importance: the anti-codon, which is responsible for specific mRNA codon recognition, and the 3' end, to which the tRNAs corresponding amino acid is attached (by aminoacyl-tRNA synthetases). tRNAs cope with the degeneracy of the genetic code in two manners: having more than one tRNA (with a specific anti-codon) for a particular amino acid; and 'wobble' base-pairing, i.e. permitting non-standard base-pairing at the 3rd anti-codon position.
Source: RNAcentral
ACUCCUGUGGCGGAACGGAAGACGCACUAGAUCGAGAAUCUAGUUUUUGUGGGUUCAAAUCCCAUCAGGAGUACCA